AUUCCGUUUCCUUCGUUUGUUUAAUGUAAAUUUAAUGCGCAUAUUGCACACUUUGGUUUCUCGAGAGAAAAAUCUAAUCCAUCAUGAACUCUGCGAUUUAGAGGGGAGUUGUAGUUUCCAACAGACCAAUAUUGUACAUAGUUUAGAGCAGUAAACGUAGUUAUUAACUACAAUGACCUUAAUCCAUUGCGCAUCUACUUGUUCUGUUUUUAUUUUAUGUCAGCUAAGGAAGAGCCAGAAGAAUGCGCUAUCAUGAGGGAACAGCUGUUGCUUUGCGAGAUGAGCUUCCGACUAUAGACAUAGAUAGUGAUGAGGCUGAAGAUAAAGAUGAGAAGAACGGUGUGGGGAAAAUCUCUGACUGUGAGUCGGAGUCCUACGCUGAGGAACCAAAAUAAUCAUCACCUAAACGUACGACGGGGCGGCCUGGCGGAGUGACUGAACAGGCUCCAGUGCAGGCAGAGGUCAACCAUCAGCUUCUGGAGGCACCAGUCCAUCUCUGACAUUAC
Molecule: long non-coding RNA, 506 nt
Organism: Oncorhynchus gorbuscha (pink salmon)
Lineage: Eukaryota; Metazoa; Chordata; Actinopteri; Salmoniformes; Salmonidae
Exons: 3
Source: RefSeq, a predicted model, not a curated record